CCUAUUCUUGCUUUCAGCCACAACAUUUAUCUUCUUCGGAGUUAUCAAUGCUUGCUGCACCUAAUGAAUCUAAAUCCCAUCUAGCCGCCGCACCUUUCAACUCUAAUCAUCCGUCUCCGUUCACAAUUUCAGUAACUCUUAACCCCUCAUUUUUUCUUUAUUUUCCAAUGCCGACUCACACCAUUCACCAACCUAGCCGUAUCCCACCAAACCACUAAACCGACCCCCGACUCGCCUCUGCCGUCAGUUUGACUGGUCACCGCUUAUCUGACAUCGUCGAUCCUCAUUCCAAACAACCAUGGUGAGAACAAGAAACCAAGGGGCCGAAAAUCCCUUCUAAUCGAUGAACCACUAUUGUCACCGCUUCUCUACACCACCGUCAAUUGUCGACGUUACAAGUCCAACAAUCACGCACACCACUACGAGCACCCGAACCAGUCCACAUUCCUAACGCUCUGAUUGCUCUUUCUCCAUCGGCCUGUCGUUCCUUUUGGUCGCAGGGUUUUGUUGGUCCUUCACGCCCACGGUAGUACCACCCUUCAUCGGCGUCGUCAUCAUUUUAUUCUUUGCUAACUAUCGUAUCCUCUCAUUCGAUGCUGAUGUAUUUCGUCCUAUUCAAUGCAUUCGACAACCCCAAAAAAAAUCUGAUGAGAGGAUUUCGGUACCAGGUUUCUGAUGGGGACAUCGAUGACGGCACAACCAGAUCACGCCUCAUCUUCCCACUUCCAUACCGGGCACCUUCAUUGCCUUCGUUUCGUUUGUAGCAAGCUCUGGUGGCAUUCCUAUGCCAUCUGACGAACCACCCACUCAUUUUAAGAACCCCGAGAGGCACCGGAGAAGCCAGACCUAUGUUGUCCCAACCCAAGAAGAAUUGAAAUUCUUCUUGCGAUUCGACGACGAUGAGCAAGGUUCAACAACAUAUGACACCAUGUCACGAAUUAUGGUUAUUUGAUCUCUUUGCUUGAGAUGCCGAAGAACUUUGAUAUCGAUGUCGCUUACUCGGCUCUUACUAGCUGGCGAAGCAAACUUACAAUACCAGGACGAUGAAGGGAUGUCACAUCCAUGACCCGACACUUCGAUACAUCUACUGAUUUCAAACAUACAACUACUCAGGACGUAACGACACCACUCCUGUUUGAAUAAGGUUGAGUUGUUCUUUUAAUAGUGUAUGCUUACCAACACUAAGGUAAAUUUGUGGUUUUGGUUUGCCCAUGCCUUUUAAUGUGUUGUGAGCUUCGAUCGCCCACUUAUUCUCAACCCUUACAUUACAAAUCUAGUCGUUUGUCUUUUUUCAUUAACUUUCGAUGUUUCAUAAUUCACUUAUGCAUUUUCUAUGGAUGGUUUAGAUGAUAAUUCCUUGGAUAUAAUAGGAUUACUUGUUGGCAUUCCCGACGCUCCGUACUUUGUUCCUACGGUACCAUGACCCCUAGUGGUGAGUGUAUCUUUCUUCGGGGACUACACCUCCACACCCGAUGGACGAUAUGUAACCAGCUAUACAAGCACAAUUUAAUGAAGUGCAUGGUCGUAUUAACUCCAUCGAAUCUAACAUUGUCAAGAUUUUAUUCUAUCUUUGCUCGGGCACCUCUCGUCGAGGUCACGGUCGCGGUCGUUGUUAGACAUAAGGGGUAUCUCUAUUACCUCUCCUAUGUUUUUAAUUUUGUAUUGGAACAAUACGCUUUAAGUGAA
Long non-coding RNA from Hibiscus syriacus, 1686 nucleotides. RefSeq lists it as uncharacterized. NCBI's taxonomy places the organism in Eukaryota, Viridiplantae, Streptophyta, Magnoliopsida, Malvales, Malvaceae. The transcript has 3 exons. The record is from RefSeq and is a predicted model, not a curated record.